GGGCCAGUAGCUCAUCUGGUAGAGCGCAGUCUUCGCAUGACUGAGGUAAGGAGUUCGAGUCUCCUCUGGUCCACCA
RNAcentral lists this transfer RNA (76 nucleotides) under Candidatus Woykebacteria bacterium RIFCSPHIGHO2_02_FULL_43_16b. Its description in RNAcentral is "tRNA-Ala". It matches the Rfam family "tRNA". From Rfam's summary of the family: Transfer RNA (tRNA) molecules are approximately 80 nucleotides in length. The record is from RNAcentral. RNAcentral also lists the same sequence under 2 other names. Lineage: Bacteria; Candidatus Woykeibacteriota.